GACGAACGCUGGCGGCGUGCUUAACACAUGCAAGUCGAACGAUGAAGAAAAGAAUCGAAGCUUCGGCAGAAAUUCAUUUCGGAUUAGUGGCAGACGGGUGAGUAACGCGUGAGCAACCUACCUCUUACAAAGGGAUAGCCUCGGGAAACCGGGAUUAAUACCAUAUAACAUUGCGACGAAGCAUUUCGAUGCAAUCAAAGCUACGGCGGUAAGAGAUGGGCUCGCGUCCCAUUAACCGGAUGGUGAGGUAACGGCUCACCAUAGUGACGAUGGGUAACCGGCCUGAGAGGGGGAACGGUCACACUGGGACUGGGCCACGGUCCAGACUCCUACGGGAGGCAGCAGUGGGGAAUAAUGCACAAUGGAGGGAACUCUGAUGCAGCGACGCCGCGUGAGUGAUGAAGGAAUUCGUUUCGUAAAACUCUGUUCUAUGGGAAGAAAAGGACUGUACCAUAGGAGAAAGCUCCGGCUAAAUACGU
RNAcentral lists this ribosomal RNA (479 nucleotides) under uncultured bacterium. RNAcentral's name for it is "partial 16S ribosomal RNA". It matches the Rfam family "Bacterial small subunit ribosomal RNA", at positions 28 to 506 of the family's 1533-position model. The record is from RNAcentral.